UUCGCCCUUAGAGUUUGAUCCUGGCUCAGGACGAACGCUGGCGGCGUGCCUAACACAUGCAAGUCGAGCGGAGACAGUGAGUAGCUUGCUACGAGCUGUUUUAGCGGCGGACGGGUGAGUAACGCGUGAGCAACCUUUCCCAGACAGGGGAAUAACACACCGAAAGGUGUACUAAUACCGCAUAAGACCACGGGAUCACAUGGUUCUGGGGUAAAAGAUUUAUCGGUUUGGGGUGGGCUCGCGUCCGAUUAGGUAGUUGGUGAGGUAACGGCCCACCAAGCCGACGAUCGGUAGCCGACCUGAGAGGGUGAUCGGCCACAUUGGGACUGAGACACGGCCCAAACUCCUACGGGAGGCAGCAGUGGGGAAUAUUGGGCAAUGGAGGAAACUCUGACCCAGCAACGCCGCGUGGAGGAAGAAGGUUUUCGGAUCGUAAACUCCUGUCCUUGGAGACGAGUAGAAGACGGUAUCCAAGGAGGAAGCCCCGGCUAACUACGUGCCAGCAGCCGCGGUAAUACGUAGGGGGCAAGCGUUGUCCGGAAUAAUUGGGCGUAAAGGGCGCGUAGGCGGCUCGGUAAGUCUGGAGUGAAAGUCCUGCUUUUAAGGUGGGAAUUGCUUUGGAUACUGUCGGGCUUGAGUGCAGGAGAGGUUAGUGGAAUUCCCAGUGUAGCGGUGAAAUGCGUAGAGAUUGGGAGGAACACCAGUGGCGAAGGCGACUAACUGGACUGUAACUGACGCUGAGGCGCGAAAGUGUGGGGAGCAAACAGGAUUAGAUACCCUGGUAGUCCACACUGUAAACGAUGAAUGCUAGGUGUAGGGGGUAUCGACCCCUUCUGUGCCGCAGUCAACACAAUAAGCAUUCCGCCUGGGGAGUACGGCCGCAAGGUUGAA
Molecule: ribosomal RNA, 891 nt
Filed under: uncultured bacterium
Lineage: Bacteria
Description: bacterial SSU rRNA
Rfam family: Bacterial small subunit ribosomal RNA
Source: RNAcentral